This is a long non-coding RNA of Lepidothrix coronata (blue-crowned manakin), 404 nucleotides long. RefSeq lists it as uncharacterized. Lineage: Eukaryota; Metazoa; Chordata; Aves; Passeriformes; Pipridae. The transcript has 3 exons. The record is from RefSeq and is a predicted model, not a curated record.
CCAGGUGUGGGACACGGACCGAGCACACCCUUAACCUGCCCAGGUGUGGGACACGGACCGAGCACACCCUUAACCUACCCCGGGUGUGGGGCUGGGACACGGACUGAGCACACCCUUAACCUGCCCCAGGUGUGGGACACGGACUGAGCACACCCUUAACCUGCCCAGGUGUGGGACAUGGACUGAGCACACCCUUAACCUGCCCAGGUGUGGGGCUUGAACAUGGACUGAGCACACCCUUAACCUGCCCCGGGUGUGGGACACGGACCGAGCACACCUUUAACCUGCCCAGGUGUGGGACAUGGACUGAGCACACCCUUAACCUGCCCAGGUGUGCAGGAUGGCACACAGACUGAGCACACCCUUAACCUGCCCAGGUGUGGGACAGGGACCGAGCACACCCU